UGCUAAUGUAGACACACUUCAGGUAGAAAAAGAAUCCACAUCCAUCACUCCAGCAUUUACCAGAGUUUUACCUCAGUCAGUUGGAGAAGAAAAUGGGUUUGUCUGAGUUUGAGAUUAAGCUUGCCAGGGAGGUUAAGAAAUACCCCAAUCUUUACAGUUCAAGAGAUACAAUAAUUAAUUAUCAUGAUUGGAUUAUAGUAGCUCAUAUUCUCAGCAAAGGUAAAAGAGAAAUGGACUUCAGCUUUUGCAGGACAACUUGGAAAAAGUUGAGGAAAAACUAUGUCAGAGAGCAUAAUACAAAGAUCAAGAGCGGCAAUUCAAGUGUUGGACUAAAAGAUCCGGAGAUAUUACAGGAGUUGAACUGGCUCUCCCCCUUCAUAAAACACAAAGCCCAACCGACCAACAUUCCAGGAGGAGAGGGUCUGGUAGCAAGAGGGCGAGGAGAGACUGGAGGCAGUCGUGAUGCGUCGUUGGACAGAUACCAACAUUUCAUCACCUUGUCCACCCCUGCAGCAGACGGCACCUUUACCCCUCCUGUAACCACACACAUCAGACCCUUCAGACACAUGUCCACCCUAACACAGUCUGGGGACGGCCUCUCUUCAUCUCAACCAAGCUCCAGUUCUACCAGUGGACCAGUCCAACCAAGGAAGAGGACACAGGACAGAGUAGAUCAAGCCCCCAGAAAGAACCCUAAGAUUGCUGAUAAAACCAGAGAGCAUGGGGUCAGUAGUGUGGGAGGUAGUGAUGAAGGUGACGCCUUACAUGUUCUGUUAGCUGUCGCGAGAGGACAAGGAGAGACUGGAGGAAGUUGUCAGGAUUUGGCCAGGGUUGUUCCCGGU
Oncorhynchus masou masou (cherry salmon) is the source of this 842-nucleotide long non-coding RNA. RefSeq lists it as uncharacterized. The transcript is spliced from 3 exons. NCBI's taxonomy places the organism in Eukaryota, Metazoa, Chordata, Actinopteri, Salmoniformes, Salmonidae. The record is from RefSeq and is a predicted model, not a curated record.